GACGAACGCUGGCGGCGUGCUUAACACAUGCAAGUCGAACGGAAAGGCCCUGCUUUUGUGGGGUGCUCGAGUGGCGAACGGGUGAGUAACACGUGAGUAACCUGCCCUCGACUUUGGGAUAACUUCAGGAAACUGGGGCUAAUACCGGAUAGGAGCUCCUGCUGCAUGGUGGGGGUUGGAAAGUUUCGGCGGUUGGGGAUGGACUCGCGGCUUAUCAGCUUGUUGGUGGGGUAGUGGCUUACCAAGGCUUUGACGGGUAGCCGGCCUGAGAGGGUGACCGGCCACAUUGGGACUGAGAUACGGCCCAGCCUCCUACGGGAGGCAGCAGUGGGGAAUAUUGCACAAUGGGCGGAAGCCUGAUGCAGCAACGCCGCGUGCGGGAUGACGGCCUUCGGGUUGUAAACCGCUUUCGCCUGUGACGAAGCGUGAGUGACGGUAAUGGGUAAAGAAGCACCGGCUAACUACGUG
This 468-nucleotide ribosomal RNA is filed under the name uncultured bacterium. RNAcentral's name for it is "partial 16S ribosomal RNA". It matches the Rfam family "Bacterial small subunit ribosomal RNA", at positions 28 to 507 of the family's 1533-position model. The record is from RNAcentral.